GAUGAACGCUGGCGGCGUGCCUAAUACAUGCAAGUCGAGCGAACAGAUGAGGAGCUUGCUCCUCUGACGUUAGCGGCGGACGGGUGAAUAACACGUGGAUAACCUACCUAUAAGACUGGGAUAACUUCGGGAAACCGGAGCUAAUACCGGAUAAGAUAUUGAACCGCAGGGUGCAAUAGUGAAAGACGGUGUUGCUGGCACGUAUAGAUGGUUCCGCGCCGCAUUAGCUAGUUGGUAAGGUAACGGCUUACCAAGGCAACGAUGCGUAGCCGACAUGAGAGGGUGAGCGGCCACACUGGAACUGAGACACGGUCCAGACUCCUACGGGAGGCAGCAGUAGGGAAUCUUCCGCAAUGGGCGAAAGCUUGACGGAGCAACGCCGCGUGAGUGAUGAAGGUCUUCGGAUCGUAAAACUCUGUUAUUAGGGAAGAACCAAUGUGUAAGUAACUAUGAACGUCUUGACGGUACCUAAUCAGAAAGCCACGGCUAACUACGUG
RNAcentral lists this ribosomal RNA (497 nucleotides) under uncultured bacterium. RNAcentral's name for it is "partial 16S ribosomal RNA". It matches the Rfam family "Bacterial small subunit ribosomal RNA", at positions 28 to 507 of the family's 1533-position model. The record is from RNAcentral.